ACGAACGUUGGCGGCGUGCCUAAUACAUGCAAGUCGUGGGAGAAAUCCGGGGUAACUCGGAGAGUACACCGGCGAAAGGGUGAGUAAUACAUAGAUAACGUACCCUUCGGACUGGGAUAACCCCGCGAAAGCGGGGCUAAUACCGGGAGAUGACGGGGUUUGACAUCUGGUCCCGUCCAAAGCCGCAAGGCGCCGAAGGAGCGGUCUAUGGCCUAUCAGCUAGUUGGCGGGGUAACGGCCCACCAAGGCAGUGACGGGUAGCCGGACUGAGAGGUUGACCGGCCACACGGGAACUGAGACACGGUCCCGACACCUACGGGUGGCAGCAGUAGGGAAUAUUGCGCAAUGGGCGAAAGCCUGACGCAGCGACGCCGCGUGGGGGAUGAAGGCCUUCGGGUUGUAAACCCCUUUCGUGAGGGAAGAACACUGACUUAACCUCAGGAAGAAGCACCGGCUAACUCCGU
RNAcentral lists this ribosomal RNA (464 nucleotides) under uncultured bacterium. Its description in RNAcentral is "bacterial SSU rRNA". It matches the Rfam family "Bacterial small subunit ribosomal RNA", at positions 29 to 506 of the family's 1533-position model. The record is from RNAcentral.